Molecule: non-coding RNA, 101 nt
Organism: Podarcis lilfordi (Lilford's wall lizard)
Lineage: Eukaryota; Metazoa; Chordata; Lepidosauria; Squamata; Lacertidae
Source: the annotation of a GenBank genome assembly
GUGCAAGUGGCUAUUUCUCUCUCUCUCUCUCUCUCUCUCUGUGUGUGUGUGUGUGUGAGAGAGAGAGAGAGAGAGAGAGAGAGAGAGAGAAUUUGGGGCAG